RNAcentral lists this unclassified non-coding RNA (155 nucleotides) under uncultured fungus. Its description in RNAcentral is "sequence contains ITS1". Lineage: Eukaryota; Fungi. The record is from RNAcentral.
UUUAUAAUUUUCAUAAAAACAUAUUCGACUUUUAAAUAUAAGUGUUACAAAAAUGUAAUGGGCUUCAAGUGCACAGUGUGUGGGAUUGGGAUGUCGAGCCUCUUGCGAGCGCUCUUUCAUCAGCAAUAAUCCUUCCGCAGGUUCACCUACGGAAA